GCUUACGGCCACACCGCCUGGUUCACGCCCGAUACGUUUGAUCUCGGAAGCUAAGAUAGGUUGGGCCUGGUUAGUACUUGGAUGGGAGACCGCCUGGGAAUACCAGGUGCUGUAACUU
RNAcentral lists this ribosomal RNA (118 nucleotides) under Scophthalmus maximus (turbot). Lineage: Eukaryota; Metazoa; Chordata; Actinopteri; Pleuronectiformes; Scophthalmidae. The record is from RNAcentral.